CCUACGGGAGGCAGCAGUAAGGAAUAUUGGUCAAUGGAGGCAACUCUGAACCAGCCAUGCCGCGUGCAGGAAGACGGCCCUAUGGGUUGUAAACUGCUUUUAUCUGGGAAUAAACCUUUUUACGUGUAAGAAGCUGAAUGUACCAGAAGAAUAAGGAUCGGCUAACUCCGUGCCAGCAGCCGCGGUAAUACGGAGGAUCCAAGCGUUAUCCGGAUUUAUUGGGUUUAAAGGGUGCGUAGGCGGCCUGUUAAGUCAGAGGUGAAAGACGGUAGCUCAACUAUCGCAGUGCCUUUGAUACUGACGGGCUUGAAUAAACUAGAGGUAGGCGGAAUGAGACAAGUAGCGGUGAAAUGCAUAGAUAUGUCUCAGAACACCGAUUGCGAAGGCAGCUUACUAUGGUUUUAUUGACGCUGAGGCACGAAAGCGUGGGGAUCAAACAGGAUUAGAUACCCUGGUAGUCCACGCCCUAAACGAUGAAUACUCGCUGUUAGCGAUAUACCAGUUAGUCGGCGUAGACGAAGACGUUAAGUUAGUUACCGUACCGUCGGGAGGUACGCGUCGUCGAGAGUUAGUAACGUUACGAAAGGAAGUUAGACGGCGNGAGACGUUGCGACGGACGACGACGAGGGAGGAGG
This 635-nucleotide ribosomal RNA is filed under the name uncultured bacterium. RNAcentral's name for it is "bacterial SSU rRNA". The stretch from base 1 to 538 matches the Rfam family "Bacterial small subunit ribosomal RNA", at positions 338 to 873 of the family's 1533-position model. The record is from RNAcentral.